CUUGAAAAUUUAGCAAAGUGUAAUAAUAGAUUCAUCUAUUUAGUUUUAAAUGCUUUUCACAGAGUGUUUAAUCUAGAGAUGAAUACUCUAGUAAUUAAGGGGUUAUCAAUAUGUUAAUAAGAUUAUGUCAUGUGAUAGUUUCUAAAACUCCUGUUCGGGAGUAAAGGGCAGUUUCAACAGAUAUGCCCUAAAUUGUAGAAAACAUACUCUACUGAACAAGACCAAAUAAAUUGCUUAUGGCAAAGAUCAAUUAUUGCUACUGAUAUAAAACAUGUACCUUACUAUUUAAUACAUAACAUACAUAUUUUGUUAAUCUUAUCUAUAUUUUGUGGUUAAUAUGAGUGUUUACAUAUUACUACUUUUAUCUAAUUUUACAUUGUCAAAUUUUAUACAGGGAAUAUUGUAAGCAUGCAUACAGCUAUAUACAUAAUAUAAGAGUCUUAUUUCAGUAUUUUCUGUGUAAAUUAAGUUUUAAUUAUAGUGACUUAUUAUGCAUUUUUUAAUUGUUAAUUAUAAUCUUGCAGUGUAGAGAAGCUUUUUAUAAUCAGGUCUCAAAAUUUGCUCUAACUUAUUUUUAUGAUGCAUAAAGUUCUAGAGAAUCUAAAUCAGGGGUAACAUUAGGAUAACAUUCCCUGUUAAAAAAAAAUACCGCAUAAUGCCGUAAAAGGAGUUCUUAUGGGAAAUUGCAUUGUCAAUAUUUACAGAAAUGCAACCUACAGCUUACCUGAUAGUAUUUUUAUAUUUUGAGAGGACCUUAAUAUGUUUUAUUUUUCGAACAUUGUGUCUCAUUAACUGUGAUAUUUUGUAUAACACCAUUCUCUUUUGAAUUUAAUAGC
RNAcentral lists this long non-coding RNA (836 nucleotides) under Mytilus galloprovincialis (Mediterranean mussel). The record is from RNAcentral. Lineage: Eukaryota; Metazoa; Mollusca; Bivalvia; Mytilida; Mytilidae.